This is a non-coding RNA of Streptomyces sp. WAC00263, 87 nucleotides long. NCBI's taxonomy places the organism in Bacteria, Bacillati, Actinomycetota, Actinomycetes, Kitasatosporales, Streptomycetaceae. The record is from Rfam.
CCUGGCCAGUGCUCAGGGCCAGUCCCCACCCCGACGUGCGUUGCCGGUAACGGCUCGGUGCGGAGCUCGGGGGAGAAGCCCAAGGGC